This 69-nucleotide transfer RNA is filed under the name Heterocephalus glaber (naked mole-rat). It matches the Rfam family "tRNA". From Rfam's summary of the family: Transfer RNA (tRNA) molecules are approximately 80 nucleotides in length. Their secondary structure includes four short double-helical elements and three loops (D, anti-codon, and T loops). The record is from Rfam by way of RNAcentral. Lineage: Eukaryota; Metazoa; Chordata; Mammalia; Rodentia; Bathyergidae.
GGAGACAUAGCUCAGUAGUAGAGUACUUGCCUAGCGAGUGUGAGGUCCUGGGUUCAAUCCCCAGCACCA